This 455-nucleotide ribosomal RNA is filed under the name Metschnikowia koreensis. RNAcentral's name for it is "eukaryotic LSU rRNA". It matches the Rfam family "Eukaryotic large subunit ribosomal RNA", at positions 62 to 537 of the family's 3401-position model. Lineage: Eukaryota; Fungi; Ascomycota; Pichiomycetes; Serinales; Metschnikowiaceae. The record is from RNAcentral.
AANCCACCAGGGAUGCCUCGUAUACCGGCGAGUGAAGCGGCAAAAGCUCAAAUUUGAAAUCCUCCGGGAAUUGUAAUUUGAAGGUGGGGUUGAAUAGGUCUACAUACUUUAAGUCCAUUGGAAAAUGGCGCCAUGGAGGGUGAUAGCCCCGUAAAAGUAUCCAAACCUUCUUUUCUUCCCCUCCUAAGAGUCGAGUUGUUUGGGAAUGCAGCUCUAAGUGGGUGGUAAAUUCCAUCUAAAGCUAAAUAUUGGCGAGAGACCGAUAGCGAACAAGUACAGUGAUGGAAAGAUGAAAAGCACUUUGAAAAGAGAGUGAAAAAGUACGUGAAAUUGUUGAAAGGGAAGGGCUUGCAAGCAGACACAACCUCGGUUGGGCCAGCAUCGGAGUGGGGGGAGACAAAAACGGUUAGGAAUGUAGCUCCCUUANANNAUUAUAUCCUAGCCCUAUAUCUCCA